Molecule: small nuclear RNA, 291 nt
Filed under: Castor canadensis (American beaver)
Lineage: Eukaryota; Metazoa; Chordata; Mammalia; Rodentia; Castoridae
Description: 7SK RNA (ENSCCNG00000000260.1)
Rfam family: 7SK RNA
About the family: 7SK was discovered as an abundant small nuclear RNA in the mid-70s but a possible function has only recently been suggested. Two independent studies have found that 7SK RNA binds the CDK9/cyclin T complex (known as elongation factor P-TEFb).
Source: Rfam by way of RNAcentral
GGAUGUGAGGGUGAUCUGGCUGCAACAUCUGUCACCCCAUUGAUCGCCAGGGUUGAUUCAGCUGAUCUGGCUGGCUAGGCUGGUGUCCCCUUCCUCCCUCACUGCUCCAUGUGCGUCCCUCCCGAAGCUGCGUGCUCAGUCGAAGAGGAUGACCAUCCCCGAUAGAGGAGGACCGUUCUUCAGUCAAGGGUAUACGAGUACUGCUAGAACCUCCAAACAAGCUCUCAAGAACAGCUAAUGUUUGAGUAUCUAGAUAGCAAUUAUGGAGCCAUUCUGGGUGGUCCCAGAGAU